GGAGGAAAACCCAAGGCCGGCUAAAGGGAUCGGUCUUGAAACCCGACGGGGCCAUAACGGGCCGCGAGGGUUCGAAGCCCUCUUCCUCCGCCA
RNAcentral lists this transfer RNA (93 nucleotides) under Staphylococcus aureus. Its description in RNAcentral is "tRNA-Ser". It matches the Rfam family "tRNA". Rfam says of the family: Transfer RNA (tRNA) molecules are approximately 80 nucleotides in length. Their secondary structure includes four short double-helical elements and three loops (D, anti-codon, and T loops). Further hydrogen bonds mediate the characteristic L-shaped molecular structure. tRNAs have two regions of fundamental functional importance: the anti-codon, which is responsible for specific mRNA codon recognition, and the 3' end, to which the tRNAs corresponding amino acid is attached (by aminoacyl-tRNA synthetases). tRNAs cope with the degeneracy of the genetic code in two manners: having more than one tRNA (with a specific anti-codon) for a particular amino acid; and 'wobble' base-pairing, i.e. permitting non-standard base-pairing at the 3rd anti-codon position. Lineage: Bacteria; Bacillati; Bacillota; Bacilli; Caryophanales; Staphylococcaceae. The record is from RNAcentral.